Long non-coding RNA from Schistocerca serialis cubense, 3663 nucleotides. RefSeq lists it as uncharacterized. The transcript is spliced from 4 exons. The record is from RefSeq and is a predicted model, not a curated record. NCBI's taxonomy places the organism in Eukaryota, Metazoa, Arthropoda, Insecta, Orthoptera, Acrididae.
UGAUUGAAAAGCUUUAACGCACACAAAUCACAAUACCCGCCAUUAUACACACACACCCACAAUGCAUUAGCAUGUCAUGUUCAAAGAAUAUCCACGUUUCGAAAACUACCAGCGAUAUUGGCUAGCGUGAGAGACGACGUCAUGUCAUGAUGUGACGUCAUGAUUCCUCGGGGCCCGCGAGACGCUUCUGUUUUCCAGCGCGAGAAAUAAGGCGCUACUGCGCAUGCGCGGCUACGAUGACGUAGAACUUCCGCGCUUGCUACUUGCGCUGCUCGUACACUUUCUGGCGGCCCAUUUUUGGUUGGACUCACGUGAGACGUAGCUCGUAGCUGAUUACAGUUGUUACCGUCGACCAUGCGCAGCAGCAACAGUAAUGUUUUUUCUGGGGACGAGGUGAUGCAAAACUACGAUCUAAUGGACGAGUUCUUGGUUUUCCAUCCACCCCGUACCCAAGAACAAUUUCCUUCAUGUCCCACACCGGAACCGUUGUGGGACAAGGAGUCUACAUUGAAAUUAAUUGAAUUCUAUAGAAUUCAUCAUGAACGGCUCGGUAAGAGCCGUGAUCUGAAGAGGAAGCAGCAGUUAUGGGACGCGAUGUCCACGUAUAUCACGAAAGCGCUGGGAAAGACGUUCUCGCCGCGCAAUGCGAAAACAAAUGGCGAUAUUUGCUACGUUCUUAUAAGGGCGUAGUGGACAAUAACAAAAAGUCCGGGUAAGAGGUCGGAAAGAUUUCGUGUAUAUGAAGGAAAUGGACGAAAUCUUCGAAAAAAAGACCAACAUUUACCCGGAGAUUUUGCUUGAUGGUGCAAACGUUGUGGCGGAGGCAGCGACCACCGACCAACCAAGCGACCAGGCUGUUCCAGGUCCAUCGGGAUACUCGACGAAGUGUCUUCUUUCCUGUACUAAAUUAUUUUCAUCGCUGGGUAAGUGCUAACAUUACUAUGAUGUAAUACUUCUCUAUGCCAUACUUAUGCAUGAGCAUUUUAGCAAUUUUGGUGCAUGAGCAUGUAAGCAGUUUUUGUGCAUGUUAAUAUUUAAGGACUCUGCAAGUGCAUCCACCCCUCCUCACAAGAAGCUUAAACUGAAGAGUCGCACAGUAAGAGAUUUCCAAGAAGAGAGGAGCAAUUAUUUACAGGAGAGGCUUGAGAUGGAGCGGGAAAGACAGGGACAAGAGGGAGAAAGAGAGGCUCCAGUUGAAACGGGAAAGCUUGGAACUGAAACGUGAAUGGAUGGAAGUUAAUCGUUCUUUGCUGAAUGCAACGUUGGAGCAUAAUAUGCUCCUCGGGAAGUAUUUUGAGGCUCGGAUAAGUUCUCUUACAAAAUUUCAUUUUUAAAUCUUUUCUUUACAUUGUGCCCUUUCAAUUUUUAUAAUUUAUGUAUCACAAAUAUUGCUAAUUAUAUCUUGAACUCUCUGCUAGAUACCUAAACUUUAAAUAGUGGUUUGUUAGUGAUAAGUGUUGGAAUUUGAUUGGUAUUUACCACUUGCUCUAUUGCUGAUAAAAUGCAUGGCAGAGGGUGUGUGCCAUUUAUUAGAUUUUCCCAUUAUGUUCAUGUAGAAGUGCCUCUGUGUGAGCUGUAUUUGGUCUAAUCUAGUCUCGAUCCCUACAGGAGUUAUAUGUAGAAGACUAGUACAGUUAUUUAAAGCUGUUUCUUAAAUCUUUGUGAGUAGGCUUUCUUGGGACACUGUGACUGUUAGUCUACCAGUUCAUUUAAAGCGUCUGUGACACUUUCAUGAAUCCACCAUGUGACCAUUUGUUCAGUCUGUAUAUUCAAUAUACCUCUUUGUUUGGUUAUGAGUCUCUCACACUUAAGCAAUAGUCUAGGGAUGGUGGCAAAAGUGAUUUAUAAGCAAUCUUCUUUGUAGACUGAUUGCAUUUCCCUUGUAUUCUACAAAUAAACCAAAAUCUGAUUUUUUAAAAUGUCUGUCCCCAAAUAGAUACUUCGGUCAGUUCGGGACUGUGUGACAAGUCAUUCUUUCAUUGCUCUAUUUUUCCUCCAGUAUUGUCUCAUCGUGUCUUCCCUUCAGAACAGCUCACACUGAUCAAUGCUUCUGCGUUUGGAAUCCUAAAUCUGAAACCUUACAGGGGGUGGGGGGAGAGCUACUUUCAUUUAUAAUUAACUGCUAAGAUAUUGCUUGUUCAUUUGUUCCCACAUAUCUGGAGAUAAAUUUCUUAGGCUGUUUUCAUUUGUCCUGUUUAACUCCAAAAAAAAAAAAAAAAAAAAAAAAAAAAAAAAAAAAAAAAAAAAAAAAAAAAAAAAAAAAAAAAUUCAUUUACUCAUUUUUUUAUAUUGUCAUUUGUUUUAAUGCUUUGCAUGUUAUUGGCCCUAAGAAAUUUUAGUCACGCAGUUUCUUCAUAGUUUUGUUAGAUUACAAUUAACUGCUAGGCAUUAAUUUAUAGGUCAUUCAUAGUGAAGCACAGUUGUUUUAACCCUUGUAAAAUUAACUUUGCAUUCAUUCUGUUCUAUUUUGUGUAUAAAUUUGAUAUUUUUCUAAUUAAUUUAUUGAAAUAUCUUCAGAGUUAAUUGAACUUUCACCUAUUUGACCAUCAUUAAGUUUUCGAUGUAAAUUAGCUUUUAUUUUCAGAGGUUGUUCUGUGGGAUUCAGUGGUUACUGAUCAGAGAUUUCUAAAUAUAGUACAGCAGAAUUAGGUGCAAAUGCGAGGUAAUUUAAAGUUCAUUAUCUUCCCAUCCAGAUAAUCCAUGAGACUGAUUUACAGCUCCAUGACUAAUAUGCAAAUCCCAAACAAGUGCCUGGCAGCUAGUUCAUUGAACCACUUCCUCUCCUGUUCCACUCGAAGCAAGUGGGGAAAAAUUAACUUCAGUCAAUUUGUGUGUGUUCGGAUUUAUCGUUUUCAUUUCUGUGUUGUUGCACAUAUUUUCACAUUUACAGGAGAAAGCUGUCAUUUCAUGACAUCCUCAUACCACAAAGUACCUUUAAUUGUUGCCACGCAAACUUGCAUAUGACACACCUCUAUUUUGUAAUAAAAAAUGAGCUGCCUUUAAACCUUUUUGGGGUCUUCAGUCAUAAGAAUCCCAUACUGUGAAGCAGUUCUGUGGCAGAGGAUGGACAAUUGUACUGUAAGCAACCUCUUUUGUGGUGCUGUUAAAUCUUCAGUGUCCUGCCAAUCGGAUACAGUCUCUCGUUUGCCUCCCCAACAUUUUCUCUGUGAUCAUUAGCUACAAUGUUAGGAAGAGUGCCUGGGACUCACAGUUUGGUCAUCUUUCCAUAUGUUUAUUAUUAAGUACCUAGGACAUGUCACCCAUAAACUAACUUACAUGACUAAUUACACUGUUAUGGAUUUAAAUUUACUCACACCAAAAUUAGUUGAUGCAGUAGUUGUUUGAGUUUAUUAUAAAUGAUUUUACGAACCACGUAUGCCGUAUUGUGUUAAUCAUUUCUUCAAAUUGCAUGCUUUGUCCUGUUUCCUUACUAAAGUCCUUAUGAGCUCAACAUCUUGUCAUGCAAAUGAUAGGGUGUUGGCUCAUUGUUUUUACAGGUUGAAGCUGAGGGCAUCAGAUGUCGCGUCUGUGAAGAGCAACGGAGGAGUAGUGAUUAUAAACUGUAAUUUUGAACUGUGCAUUUGGUGAUUAUAGUUUCAGUGUAAUUGUGACUUGUCUUUGUGUUUGUAGUUAAAUUGUAAUUGGGAACUGUGCAUUUGAGUA